RNAcentral lists this ribosomal RNA (401 nucleotides) under uncultured bacterium. Its description in RNAcentral is "bacterial SSU rRNA". It matches the Rfam family "Bacterial small subunit ribosomal RNA", at positions 975 to 1375 of the family's 1533-position model. The record is from RNAcentral.
CUGGUCUUGACAUCCACGGAAGUUUUCAGAGAUGAGAAUGUGCCUUCGGGAACCGUGAGACAGGUGCUGCAUGGCUGUCGUCAGUUCGUGUCGUGAGAUGUUGGGUUAAGUCCCGCAACGAGCGCAACCCUUGAUUUUAGUUGCCAGCACUUUGGGUGGGCACUCUAGAAUGACUGCCGGUGACAAACCGGAGGAAGGCGGGGAUGACGUCAAAUCAUCAUGCCCCUUAUGACUUGGGCUACACACGUACUACAAUGGCUGGUACAACGGGAAGCGAAGCCGCGAGGUGGAGCCAAUCCUAUAAAAGCCAGUCUCAGUUCGGAUUGCAGGCUGCAACUCGCCUGCAUGAAGUCGGAAUUGCUAGUAAUCGCGGAUCAGCAUGCCGCGGUGAAUACGUUCCC